AUGGAAUUAGUUUUAAACGGUUUACAGUGGCAAACUUGCCUAAUUUACCUGGACGACAUUAUAGUCUUCUCCACUAGUUUUGACCAGCAUAUUGAAAGACCAGAAGAGGUGCUCCUUAGAAUUUUGGAGGCAGGGUUAAAGCUGAAACCAGAAAAAUGCACUAUGUUAAAGUCAGAAGUUGCAUUUCUUGGUCAUGUUGUAUCAGGAAAAGGGGUUCAACCAAAUCCAGAUAACAUUGCCAAAAUUUUAGCUUGGUCAGUGCCAACAAAUGUAACUGAAGUCCGUCAAUUAAUUGGGAUGGGUAGCUAUUAUCGUCGUUUUAUUAAAGAUUUUUCUUCUCUUGUGAAGCCUCUAACAGAGCUCACUAAGAAGUCAAAUGCAUUUAUCUGGUCGAAUGAGUGCCAAAAAUCUUUUGAACAACUUAAAGAAGUAUUUAUGAGUCCAGAAAUAAUGGGAUAUCCUUUAGACAAGGGAGAUUUUAUAUUAGAUACGGAUGCAAGUGAUUUUGCCAUUGGAGCAGUUUUGAGCCAAAUUCAAGAUGGAAGACCCAGAGUGAUCGCUUAUGGCAGUCGUACCUUAAAUAAAGCUGAGUGCAAUUAUUGCAUUACAAACAAAGAAUUGCUGGCAGUCCGGUAUUUUAUAGAAUAUUAUAGGCAGUAUUUAUUGGGUAGAAGUUUUAUGGUCAGGACUGACCACCAGGCCUUGAUAUGGUUAUUUAGCCUUAUAGAGCCUAAGGGCAGGAUUGCCCGGUGGAUUGAAAUACUAUCCGCUUUUGAUUUUACUGUAGAAUAUAGACCAGGCCCCAAACAUGGAAAUGCAGAUGAUAUGUCACGAUGCAUAAACCCCCGUGAGAGUUAUUGUCCCCAAACAGACCAUAUAGAAUAUUUGAAAUGUGGUCCUUGUGCGAAAUGCACAAGAAGAGCUCGUGACAUGGUGACUUCCAUGAUUUCCCCCCUUUUAUAGAAGAAAAGAAAGUUUUUAAAAGUCUUAAUGUAGUAAAGACAAGGAAACAGACAGAGGAAGCUAAUACUUGGACCAUUUGGAAAACAGGACAUACUAUACCAGAGCUAAAGAAAUUACAAGAGGAAGAUGAAGCCAUUGGCCAUAUUUUUAAAUGGAAAACAGAUGGGAAGAGACCGCCAUGGAGAGAUGUGGAAAGUUUGAGUCCAGCUACCCGACAUUAUUGGCACCUUUGGGAAUCCUUAUUUUUUAAAGAGAAUUUACUCUUUAAAGAAUUCUCUAAGCGAGAUGAAACUGCUGACCAAAUACAGUUUUUAACCCCACAGAAAUUGAAACCUGAAAUUUUAGCUCAAAUGCAUAAUUCCAUUACAUCUGGGCAUUUGGGAAGGAAAAAGACAAAGGCAAAGCUUUCCCAGAGAUUUUAUUGGUAUGAGAUGAGAGAGGACAUCACCAUAUGGUUAGCAAAGUGUGAUAUUUGCCAGGCAAAUAAACCUCCAGUAAAAGGAUACAGGGCCCCUUUAGGAAGUAUGCCUACUGGUGGACCAUGGGAUAGAUUGGCUACUGAUAUUUUAGGCCCUCUUCCUGUCACACCAAGACAUAAUAAAUAUGUUUUAACGGUAACAGACCAUUUUACAAAGUGGGUCGAGGUUUUUCCUGUACCGGACUCCACUGCUGUUACCUGUGCUUACUUGAUUUUAAAUGAUGUUAUAUGUCGUUAUGGUUGUCCACUUGCCUUACACUCUGAUCAAGGUCGCAACUAUGAAAGUGAUAUUUUUCAAGAGCUGUGUUCUAUGUUAGACAUUAGAAAAACAAGAACCAGUGUAAGAAAUCCAAAGGGUAAUGGUCAAACAGAGCGAUUUAAUUGUAGUUUACUGUCUAUGAUUAAAUCUUAUUUACAAGGUGAACAGACAGACUGGGAUUUAAAUCUUGGUUGUCUUGCAGGUGCUUACCGGUCUACUCCGAAUGAAUCUACAAGUCUUACUCCUAACUUGUUGAUGUUAGGAAGGGAAAUCAGGUUUCCAGUUGAGGUGACACAAGCAAAAGUUUUGGUUCAAGGUGAAGUCCAAGUAAAUCCAGGCGAUUUUGUCUGUGAAUUAAGAGAGAGGUUGCAAAAGGCUCAUAGUGUUGCCAGAAAACAUUUAUCAGCAAAUGCUAAAAGGCGUAAAGAUUACUAUGACCAGAAAGUAAACUUUGUCAUUUAUAAUAUUUUUGAUAAGGUUUGGUACUUAAACGAGACAAGGAAGGAAGGCAUAAGUCCAAAACUUCAACCCUUAUACUUGGGACCUUGCCUUAUUACCAAAAAGUUGAAUGAAAUUAAUUUUGAAAUACAACUAGAUGCUAAGGGAACCAGAAAGGUUAUUAAUCAUAACAAGUUGAAACCUUACAUUGGUGAAAACAUACCCAAGUGGAUGAAAAUAGUUGAAAAACAAAUUUCUUAA
Molecule: small RNA, 2399 nt
Filed under: Mytilus galloprovincialis (Mediterranean mussel)
Lineage: Eukaryota; Metazoa; Mollusca; Bivalvia; Mytilida; Mytilidae
Source: RNAcentral